Molecule: ribosomal RNA, 1343 nt
Filed under: uncultured bacterium
Lineage: Bacteria
Description: 16S ribosomal RNA
Rfam family: Bacterial small subunit ribosomal RNA
Source: RNAcentral
GACGAACGCUGGCGGCGUGCUUAACACAUGCAAGUCGAACGGAAAGGCCCUGCUUUUGUGGGGUGCUCGAGUGGCGAACGGGUGAGUAACACGUGAGUAACCUGCCCUUGACUUUGGGAUAACUUCAGGAAACUGGGGCUAAUACCGGAUAGGAGCUCCUGCUGCAUGGUGGGGGUUGGAAAGUUUCGGCGGUUGGGGAUGGACUCGCGGCUUAUCAGCUUGUUGGUGGGGUAGUGGCUUACCAAGGCUUUGACGGGUAGCCGGCCUGAGAGGGUGACCGGCCACAUUGGGACUGAGAUACGGCCCAGACUCCUACGGGAGGCAGCAGUGGGGAAUAUUGCACAAUGGGCGGAAGCCUGAUGCAGCAACGCCGCGUGCGGGAUGACGGCCUUCGGGUUGUAAACCGCUUUCGCCUGUGACGAAGCGUGAGUGACGGUAAUGGGUAAAGAAGCACCGGCUAACUACGUGCCAGCAGCCGCGGUGAUACGUAGGGUGCGAGCGUUGUCCGGAUUUAUUGGGCGUAAAGGGCUCGUAGGUGGUUGAUCGCGUCGGAAGUGUAAUCUUGGGGCUUAACCCUGAGCGUGCUUUCGAUACGGGUUGACUUGAGGAAGGUAGGGGAGAAUGGAAUUCCUGGUGGAGCGGUGGAAUGCGCAGAUAUCAGGAGGAACACCAGUGGCGAAGGCGGUUCUCUGGGCCUUUCCUGACGCUGAGGAGCGAAAGCGUGGGGAGCGAACAGGCUUAGAUACCCUGGUAGUCCACGCUGUAAACGGUGGGUACUAGGUGUGGGGUCCAUUCCACGGGUUCCGUGCCGUAGCUAACGCUUUAAGUACCCCGCCUGGGGAGUACGGCCGCAAGGCUAAAACUCAAAGGAAUUGACGGGGCCCCGCACAAGCGGCGGAGCAUGCGGAUUAAUUCGAUGCAACGCGUAGAACCUUACCUGGGUUUGACAUGGAUCGGGAGUGCUCAGAGAUGGGUGUGCCUCUUUUGGGGUCGGUUCACAGGUGGUGCAUGGCUGUCGUCAGCUCGUGUCGUGAGAUGUUGGGUUAAGUUCCGCAACGAGCGCAACCCUUGUUCACUGUUGCCAGCACGUUAUGGUGGGGACUCAGUGGAGACCGCCGGGGUCAACUCGGAGGAAGGUGGGGAUGACGUCAAGUCAUCAUGCCCCUUAUGUCCAGGGCUUCACGCAUGCUACAAUGGCUGGUACAGAGAGUGGCGAGCCUGUGAGGGUGAGCGAAUCUCGGAAAGCCGGUCUCAGUCCGGAUUGGGGUCUGCAACUCGACCUCAUGAAGUCGGAGUCGCUAGUAAUCGCAGAUCAGCAACGCUGCGGUGAAUACGUUCCCGGG